GAUCAUGGCUCAGGAUGAACGCUGGCGGCGUGCUUAACACAUGCAAGUCGAACGAAGCACUUGAGAUUGAUUCUUCGGAUGACGUCUUUUGUGACUUAGUGGCGGACGGGUGAGUAACGCGUGGGUAACCUGCCUCACACAGGGGGGAUAAACACGUUAGAAAUGACUGCUAAUACCGCAUAACCCGAUAGGAUCGCAUGACCCAGACGGAAAAGAUUUAUCGGUAGUGAGAUGGACCCGCGG
RNAcentral lists this ribosomal RNA (243 nucleotides) under uncultured bacterium. Its description in RNAcentral is "partial 16S ribosomal RNA". It matches the Rfam family "Bacterial small subunit ribosomal RNA", at positions 15 to 236 of the family's 1533-position model. The record is from RNAcentral.